Molecule: non-coding RNA, 118 nt
Organism: Xylaria acuta
Lineage: Eukaryota; Fungi; Ascomycota; Sordariomycetes; Xylariales; Xylariaceae
Source: the annotation of a GenBank genome assembly
GGCAAGAUGGCCGAGCGGUUAAGGCGGUAGACUCAAGAUGGUAAAAGACUUCUUACCUGUACAACGGGGCAAUAUUCUACUGGGGAAACCCGCGCGAGUUCGAAUCUCGCUCUUGUCA